RNAcentral lists this ribosomal RNA (319 nucleotides) under Daldinia concentrica. Its description in RNAcentral is "partial large subunit ribosomal RNA". It matches the Rfam family "Eukaryotic large subunit ribosomal RNA", at positions 312 to 651 of the family's 3401-position model. The record is from RNAcentral. Lineage: Eukaryota; Fungi; Ascomycota; Sordariomycetes; Xylariales; Hypoxylaceae.
UAAGCUAAAUACCGGCCAGAGACCGAUAGCGCACAAGUAGAGUGAUCGAAAGAUGAAAAGUACUUUGAAAAGAGGGUUAAAUAGCACGUGAAAUUGUUGAAAGGGAAGCGUUUGCGACCAGACUUUUUCCAGGCGGAUCAUCCGGUGUUCUCACCGGUGCACUUCGCCUGGUUUAGGCCAGCAUCGGUUCUCUUAGGGGGAUAAAGGCCUGGGGAACGUAGCUCCUUCGGGAGUGUUAUAGCCCCUUGCGUAAUACCCUUCGGGGGACCGAGGAACGCGCAUCUGCAAGGAUGCUGGCGUAAUGGUCGUCAACGACCCG